AUCAGACUUGUUACAAGGUUGUUCUAACAAGUCUGAUACAGUCAUGAUAUAACAAGAAUGUUACAAGGUUGACGACACAAGGUUGUAACCGCAAUAUUGUUAUAUCAUGACUGCAUCGGACUUGUUAGAACAACCUUGCCACAUUAAGUCUGAU
RNAcentral lists this microRNA precursor (154 nucleotides) under Paramuricea clavata. The record is from RNAcentral. Lineage: Eukaryota; Metazoa; Cnidaria; Anthozoa; Malacalcyonacea; Plexauridae.